RNAcentral lists this ribosomal RNA (515 nucleotides) under uncultured bacterium. RNAcentral's name for it is "partial 16S ribosomal RNA". It matches the Rfam family "Bacterial small subunit ribosomal RNA", at positions 28 to 523 of the family's 1533-position model. The record is from RNAcentral.
GAUGAACGCUGGCGGCGUGCCUAAUACAUGCAAGUCGAGCGAAUGGAUUAAGAGCUUGCUCUUAUGAAGUUAGCGGCGGACGGGUGAGUAACACGUGGGUAACCUGCCCAUAAGACUGGGAUAACUCCGGGAAACCGGGGCUAAUACCGGAUAACAUUUUGAACCGCAUGGUUCGAAAUUGAAAGGCGGCUUCGGCUGUCACUUAUGGAUGGACCCGCGUCGCAUUAGCUAGUUGGUGAGGUAACGGCUCACCAAGGCAACGAUGCGGAGCCGACGUGAGAGGGUGAUCGGCCACACUGGGACUGAGACACGGCCCAGACUCCGACGGGAGGCAGCAGUAGGGAAUCUUCCGCAAUGGACGAAAGUCUGACGGAGCAACGCCGCGUGAGUGAUGAAGGCUUUCGGGUCGUAAAACUCUGUUGUUAGGGAAGAACAAGUGCUAGUUGAAUAAGCUGGCACCUUGACGGUACCUAACCAGAAAGCCACGGCUAACUACGUGCCAGCCGCCGCGGUAA